Molecule: long non-coding RNA, 272 nt
Filed under: Callithrix jacchus (white-tufted-ear marmoset)
Lineage: Eukaryota; Metazoa; Chordata; Mammalia; Primates; Cebidae
Description: lncRNA (ENSCJAG00000073181.1)
Source: RNAcentral
UAAUUAUUACCCAGAAAAAAAAAAAAUCACACCUGCCUUUGUGCCUCACUUGGAAUGAGCUUUCUUCCCUCUGACUUCCAGAGGAAUCCAACUUCCAUUGGGUUCAGCCAAUGGAAGCACUAGGAGACCAGAGGGUGACAGGGUCGUGCAAACAGUCCAGCUGCUCCUGGACCAAGCUCUUCCUUGUUUCAUGGGAUGCACAGCAUGACUAGGAAGAAAACUUCAGCACUGGCGAUGAGAGCUCGCUUUCUUCAGGUCAGAGAUAAAUCCUU